RNAcentral lists this ribosomal RNA (460 nucleotides) under uncultured bacterium. Its description in RNAcentral is "partial 16S ribosomal RNA". It matches the Rfam family "Bacterial small subunit ribosomal RNA", at positions 338 to 795 of the family's 1533-position model. The record is from RNAcentral.
CCUACGGGAGGCAGCAGUGAGGAAUAUUGGUCAAUGGACGAGAGUCUGAACCAGCCAAGUAGCGUGAAGGAUGACUGCCCUAUGGGUUGUAAACUUCUUUUAUAUGGGAAUAAAACGUUCCACGUGUGGGAUUUUGUAUGUACCAUAUGCAUAAGGAUCGGCUAACUCCGUGCCAGCAGCCGCGGUAAUACGGAGGAUCCGAGCGUUAUCCGGAUUUAUUGGGUUUAAAGGGAGCGUAGGUGGAUUGUUAAGUCAGUUGUGAAAGUUUGCGGCUCAACCGUAAAAUUGCAGUUGAAACUGGCAGUCUUGAGUACAGUAGAGGUGGGCGGAAUUCGUGGUGUAGCGGUGAAAUGCUUAGAUAUCACGAAGAACUCCGAUUGCGAAGGCAGUUCACUGGACUGCAACUGACACUGAGGCUCGAAAGUGUGGGUAUCAAACAGGAUUAGAUACCCCUGUAGUC